CCACGUUCAAUGCACCGAACUAUGCAAGGCGCAAAUUUUCGGCAAUCCUGGAGUCGACGGCGUAACGUAACUUCGCCGGUCGUUGCCUGGCACGCUGGAAACGACGGCCUUAAGAAUCUGCGCCGUAUUUGAAUUGUACUUGUUUCUUAGCUAGAUUCGAAUGCUACCAGAGCAAGUGUCCAAGAUCAAGGUGGCGGUUCGUGGAACGGUACGCACACAUGGCGACCCACUUUGUCUACUAGAUUGGGCCACUAGGUAUGGGCGAACAGACGACAUGGACCACUGGGUUUGUGCCCGAAUCGACAACUUGCUGCUGUCGCUGUACAGCCCAGGGUAGCCAACCGGGCUCAGCCGGGUUAACAGCUCUCACUUCGCCUUGGAUCACUGAUCUUUAUUAUGAUUACAACGAAGGGGCCAACUAAAACAACGGACGGAGGAAGAUUUGAGCGGCGAUGCAAUCACGCCACAACAUUCAAAUGCACGUCGAAGUCCCUAUUAGCGGUACCAGCAGGAUGACCUCUCAGCGCGAUGGUUCCAAAGAACAACAUGCCUACCCUUGUCUUCGUUUGUGCGACCCCGGGAAAACACGAAAAUCACAAGGGUGAACGAGCAUAUGAUAAAGCUGGUUCCGGCAGGGUAAGGAGAUGGCCAACUACUGGCGCCUGGUCGCCUUAUUGUAAACGCGAUCUUUUUUUUUCUUUUAGUUUUUUUUUCCUUCAGAAAGCUUGCCAAAGCUUAAAUGUGAAAGGGAAUGGCGAAGUCA
Dermacentor albipictus is the source of this 763-nucleotide long non-coding RNA. RefSeq lists it as uncharacterized. NCBI's taxonomy places the organism in Eukaryota, Metazoa, Arthropoda, Arachnida, Ixodida, Ixodidae. The record is from RefSeq and is a predicted model, not a curated record.